RNAcentral lists this transfer RNA (59 nucleotides) under Leptotrombidium akamushi. RNAcentral's name for it is "tRNA-Thr". The record is from RNAcentral. Lineage: Eukaryota; Metazoa; Arthropoda; Arachnida; Trombidiformes; Trombiculidae.
GAAAGUUUAGUUUAAAAUUUAAAAUAUUGAUUUUGUAAAUCAAAGAUAAAAAUCUUUCA